Molecule: ribosomal RNA, 355 nt
Filed under: uncultured bacterium
Lineage: Bacteria
Description: bacterial SSU rRNA
Rfam family: Bacterial small subunit ribosomal RNA
Source: RNAcentral
GUGGGGAAUUUUGGACAAUGGGGGAAACUGACGGUACCUGCAGAAUAAGCACCGGCUAACUACGUGCCAGCAGCCGCGGUAAUACGUAGGGUGCAAGCGUUAAUCGGAAUUACUGGGCGUAAAGCGUGCGCAGGCGGUUCGGAAAGAAAGAUGUGAAAUCCCAGAGCUUAACUUUGGAACUGCAUUUUUAACUACCGAGCUAGAGUGUGUCAGAGGGAGGUGGAAUUCCGCGUGUAGCAGUGAAAUGCGUAGAUAUGCGGAGGAACACCGAUGGCGAAGGCAGCCUCCUGGGAUAACACUGACGCUCAUGCACGAAAGCGUGGGGAGCAAACAGGAUUAGAAACCCUGGUAGUCC